Molecule: microRNA precursor, 106 nt
Filed under: Aegilops tauschii
Lineage: Eukaryota; Viridiplantae; Streptophyta; Magnoliopsida; Poales; Poaceae
Source: RNAcentral
AGGGGAGUGAACGCGGUAUUGGUGCGGUUCAAUCAGAGAGCUGGUGCCCCAGGAGGCAAGGGGUUCCUCCCUUCGAUUGAGCCGUGCCAAUAUCACGCGGUUUCUC